GCAGGGGGUGGUGAUGUGUGCCUGUAGUCCUAACUACUUGGGAGGCUGAGACAAGAGGAUUGCUUGAGGCUGGAAGUUCUGGGCAGUACUGUGCUGUGCCAUUCUGGUGUCUGAACUUAGUGGCAUCAAUAUGGUGACCUCCCAAGAGUGGGUGACCACCAGAUUGCCUAAGCAGGGGUGAACCUUCCCAUGUAGGAAACAGAACAGGUUAAGACUCUUGUGCGGAUCAAUAGUGGGAUCACACCUGUGAAUAGCCACUACAAUAGCACUACAGCCUGGGCAACACAGUAAGACCCCAUCUCU
RNAcentral lists this signal recognition particle RNA (303 nucleotides) under Aotus nancymaae (Ma's night monkey). Its description in RNAcentral is "Metazoan signal recognition particle RNA (ENSANAG00000002756.1)". It matches the Rfam family "Metazoan signal recognition particle RNA". Rfam says of the family: The signal recognition particle (SRP) is a universally conserved ribonucleoprotein. Lineage: Eukaryota; Metazoa; Chordata; Mammalia; Primates; Aotidae. The record is from RNAcentral.